This 497-nucleotide ribosomal RNA is filed under the name uncultured bacterium. Its description in RNAcentral is "partial 16S ribosomal RNA". It matches the Rfam family "Bacterial small subunit ribosomal RNA", at positions 28 to 507 of the family's 1533-position model. The record is from RNAcentral.
GAUGAACGCUGGCGGCGUGCCUAAUACAUGCAAGUCGAGCGAACAGACGAGGAGCUUGCUCCUCUGACGUUAGCGGCGGACGGGUGAGUAACACGUGGAUAACCUACCUAUAAGACUGGGAUAACUUCGGGAAACCGGAGCUAAUACCGGAUAAUAUAUUGAACCGCAUGGUUCAAUAGUGAAAGACGGUUUUGCUGUCACUUAUAGAUGGAUCCGCGCCGCAUUAGCUAGUUGGUAAGGUAACGGCUUACCAAGGCAACGAAGCGUAGCCGACCUGAGAGGGUGAUCGGCCACACUGGAACUGAGACACGGUACAGACUCCUACGGGAGGCAGCAGUAGGGAAUCUUACGCAAUGGGCGAAAGCCUGACGGAGCAACGCCGCGUGAGUGAUGAAGGUCUUCGGAUCGUAAAACUCUGUUAUUAGGGAAGAACAAAUGUGUAAGUAACUAUGCACGUCUUGACGGUACCUAAUCAGAAAGCCACGGCUAACUACGUG